GCUCUCCUCUUAACUUCCUUCGGUUUGAGCUCAAUUGGAAAUAUGAUUAGCAUAUAGAUUUUUCCUGCUUCUGGCAAGGAUUUUUACACUGGAAAAAAGAGGCUAUACGUUUUGUAGAAAACUCAAGGUCUGACCCACCAAACUCCACUAUUGCCUUCCUGGACCAAUAUCCUUCUUCAAUAGCCAUUUUAUACAACGUUUUCUUCUGGAUGCAGUAAAAUUGAACAAACACAGCUUAUCCUACAUUCUGAAGAUGGGGCACAUUUAUCAGGUAAGUCUGUCAGACAUUAUUACCACACUUUGAUAGAGGAAUUACCCCUGGUGCAAU
Molecule: long non-coding RNA, 328 nt
Filed under: Cercocebus atys (sooty mangabey)
Lineage: Eukaryota; Metazoa; Chordata; Mammalia; Primates; Cercopithecidae
Description: lncRNA (ENSCATG00000045839.1)
Source: RNAcentral